Molecule: long non-coding RNA, 3435 nt
Organism: Megalobrama amblycephala (Wuchang bream)
Lineage: Eukaryota; Metazoa; Chordata; Actinopteri; Cypriniformes; Xenocyprididae
Exons: 4
Source: RefSeq, a predicted model, not a curated record
UUACCCUGACAUUUGACUUUUUUGUUUUAUUUGGAAUAAAACAUCAAAAAGCCACUCUUUAUUAUGUAUUUGUGUGUUUUUAGGAACUUUAAUUACAUUCAUAACAAUAUAAUGAUUUUUGUCUGCAUCUUUAGUUAUGAUUGAGGCUGGAUCGAAUCACAGCAUUAACAACUUUAAUAAAGAAUAUCAAAAUAAAUACUCAGGAGCACAGGAGAACACGAGAAUAAACAGCAAACCACCACAGUAGCAACAAGAAUGGCCAAAAAACAGCUGAAAAUUAGGGCUAUAUGGGUUAACUGAGGAGGAAAACAAGUCACAGGUAGGGAAUAAAUAAAUCAACUAAUUAGUCACUAUGACAACAAAUGCAAACAUGUUUAGAAACCAAAGAAAAUAGAAAGAAAAACAGGAAAAAAAUGCAAACCAAACUAAAAGUCUGUAAAGUCACGCCAGCAGAGGGACCCCUCUCCCGAGUACUGACUGCUUCACUAGUUACUUCCUGUUGGUGAGACAUUUAAGCAUGGCCUGGCUAACAGGCCAUUGCAAAUUUUUGUCAGUCUACCUGCCUUAAUGAGAGUUCUAUAAUCAUUGUCUUGUUUAUCUUGUGUAUGACCAUUGCCUGCUUUGUUUCGUUUUCGCCUUUUGGAUUAUCCCUUUGCUUUGUUGUUUGGAUUGGACUGCCUUAUUGAGUGAUACCUCUGCCUGCCUUGUGUUUAUGCUAUCUGCCUGCCGAUUUGGAUUUGUUUGCUGUGGAUUUUAAUAAAUGACUGCAUAUGAAUUCUAAUUCAGCUUCCGCCUUGUUACAUAAUACUUCGCCACCGAUGAAUCCAGCAGAAGUGUCUAAUCUACAGUUGGCAUUCACUUACCAAAGCAACAUCCUCAAGGGAUACCAAGAACAGCUGGGCAAACUACAAGCUGCUAACGAAUACCUCACGCAGUAUCUCUGAUCGCUACCACCACUUGUGCCGAAGGAGAGUGACAGGCCACGUUAACGCUGUAAGUUCACUAAAAGCCCAGAGGAACACCAAAAUUGCCAGCCGACAUUGAAUGACUCCGGAUCUCUGCAUUGAAUUUAAUCCAUCAAGACCUCAUCAAGAAAUUCAAUAUCCCCACGCAACCCUGUGAUCCACCACUCAGAGUUAACGCUGUUAACAACAAGCCCACUGGAGAUGGAAUCACCCAACAAACUUUGCCCAUGCAACUUCAAGUAGGACUAUUUCAUCUAGAAAUCAUCUAAUUAUAUGUGAUUGAUUCUCCAUGCCUUGAAAUCAUCCUAGGAUGCCCUUGGCUAUAUGUUCACGACCCAGUCAUCUCUUGGCAUGGUGCGAUUAUGCAAAGGUUACAGUUCUACUAUACACAUCAUUGUUCCUGGGAUUGUGCCAAUGACCUCUUGCCCAAUGCGAUGCCUCCCAAAAGUAAGAUCUAUCCCCCAUCAUACCCAGAAACAAUGGAAGAAUACAUAGAAGAAGCUCUCAGUUCUGGUUUCAUUCGUUCAUCUACUUCCACAGCGGCUGCAGGCUUCUUCUUUGUAGAAAAAAAGAAUAGAGGACUUCGGCCUUGCAUUGACUACAGAGGUUUGAACAAUGUCACAGUUUAAUUCUCUUAUGCAUUACCAUUAGUACCUGCUGCCCUAGAACAACUCUGAGAGGCAACAAUUUACACCAAGUUAGACCUCAGGAGUACCUACAACCUCAUCAGAAUCAGAGAAGGCAGUGAGAGGAAAACAGCAUUUCUGACAAAUAGGGGGCACCAUGAAUACCAGGUCAUGCCAUAUGGGGUGGACAAUGCACCGGCAGUCUUUCAGUCUUUCAUCAUUGAGAUCUUCAGAGACAUCCUGAACAAGUACAUAGUUGCAUACAUUGACGAUAUCCUUAUCGACUCCAAGUCUGAAAGUGAACACAAGGAUCAUGUCAAGACUUUGCUAUCCAGACUGCUAGAGAAUCAACUUUAUGUAAAAGCUGAGAAGUGUGAAUUCCAUGUCAAGCGAUCAAAGCCAUCAAGGUGAAGAAAUGGACAAUUCCAAGAUUACAGCAGUCACUGAAUGGCCUAACCAACCACAGUCAAGAAACUUCAGCGCUUCUUAGGAUUUGUCAACUUCUAUCGAUGCUUUAUCCAUGAUCCAUACAUCCAUAAUUAUAGCAUUACAGCUGCAACACUGACAUCCCUGUUGAAAGGUAAACCUUCAAAAUUAGAAUGGACUGAAAGUACCACUCAAGCCUUCACUAAACUCAAGAACAGUUUCACGACAGCACCUAUCCUCAAACAUCCUGAUCCCAACCUGCCGCUUGUCAUAGAAGUCAAUGUCUCAAGAACACUCUAUCUCACACAAAAUUCUGAUGGCCAUCAAUGAUUAAAGACGUGACUAACUAGGUCAAGUUCUUCUCAGUCUGUGUCCAGUCCAAAAUACAAAAAGAAUUAUCCUCUGGUUUGAUACAACCUUUGCCUAUUCCCCAACGACCUUGGUCACGCCUUUCAAUAGACUUUGUCACCGAUCUACAUCAAAUGAAUUCACAACAAUCCUAGUCAUCAUUGAUCACUUUCAAAGGCCUGUUGUCUAAUACCUAUGAAAGGCCUCCACACUACCAUGAAAACCACUCAAGCGCUGUUCCAACAUGUUUUCAGAGUUUCUGGCAUAUCCAAAGAUAUUGUUUCAGAUAGAGGAACACAUUCACCUCACAAGUAUGGAAGGCCUUCUGCAGACAGCUGGACAUCAAUGUCAGCUUAACCUCAGGAUAUCAUCCUCAAUCCAAUGGUCAAGUUGAGAGAUUGAAUUAAUAGAUUGGCAGGUAACUACGGUCGUACUGUGGUCGUGAACAGCAUUGCUGGUCAGAGUUUCUACCAUGGGUAGGGUACGCGCAGAACUCUUUAAGACAUUCAUCAACUGGUCUCUUUCAAUGCGUGCUUGGAUACCACCCCCCAAUGUUCCCGUGGUCAGGAGAACCAUCUAUGGUACCUGCAGUCGAUGGCUGGAUUCGUCGUAGUGAGAGGGUGUGGGACAGUGCUCAUGUAUGUCUGCAAAGGGCUGUCAGGACCCAGGAGAUUCAGGCCAAUAGGCGACAUCACCCACAUCCUCCCUACCAACCUGGACAAAGGGUCUGGCUCUACACACAGGACCGCAACUUGCGGCUACCAAGCAGGAAGCCCAGCCCAAGGAAUGUGCUGACCCCAACAUCGAGAGCCAGGCGAUUCUGUAACGUCAUGCCAGUAGAGGGAACCCUCUCCCGAGUACUGACUGUGUGCCGCUCCCUCUGCUUCACUUGUUACUUCCUGUUUGUGAGACCAUUAAGCAUGGCCUGGCUAACAGGCCAUCCUGAAGUAUUGCCAGUCUACCUGCCUUACUGAGCAUUCUAUAAUAAUUUUCUUGUUUAUCUUGUAUCUUUUGGAUUAUAUCUGCCUGCUGAUUUGGAUUUGUUUGCUGUGGUUUUUAAUAAAUGACUG